This 451-nucleotide ribosomal RNA is filed under the name uncultured organism. Its description in RNAcentral is "partial 16S ribosomal RNA". It matches the Rfam family "Bacterial small subunit ribosomal RNA", at positions 334 to 801 of the family's 1533-position model. The record is from RNAcentral.
CACUCCUACGGGAGGCAGCAGUGGGGAAUAUUGGACAAUGGGCGCAAGCCUGAUCCAGCCAUGCCGCGUGAGUGAUGAAGGCCCUAGGGUUGUAAAGCUCUUUCACCGGAGAAGAUAAUGACGGUAUCCGGAGAAGAAGCCCCGGCUAACUUCGUGCCAGCAGCCGCGGUAAUACGAAGGGGGCUAGCGUUGUUCGGAAUUACUGGGCGUAAAGCGCACGUAGGCGGAUCGAUCAGUCAGGGGUGAAAUCCCAGGGCUCAACCCUGGAACUGCCUUUGAUACUGUCGAUCUGGAGUAUGGAAGAGGUGAGUGGAAUUCCGAGUGUAGAGGUGAAAUUCGUAGAUAUUCGGAGGAACACCAGUGGCGAAGGCGGCUCACUGGUCCAUUACUGACGCUGAGGUGCGAAAGCGUGGGGAGCAAACAGGAUUAGAAACCCCUGUAGUCCCAUGAU